AGCAUAUCAAUAAGCGGAGGAAAAGAAACCAACAGGGAUUGCCUCAGUAACGGCGAGUGAAGCGGCAAAAGCUCAAAUUUGAAAUCUGGCUCUUUCAGGGUCCGAGUUGUAAUUUGUAGAAGAUGCUUUGGGUGUGGCUCUGGUUUAAGUUCUUUGGAAUAUUACAUCAUAGAGGGUGAGAAUCCCGUAUGUGACCAGCCGCCGCGCCCGUGUAAAGCUCUUUCAACGAGUCGAGUUGUUUGGGAAUGCAGCUCAAAAUGGGAGGUAUAUUUCUUCUAAAGCUAAAUAUUGGCCAGAGACCGAUAGCGCACAAGUAGAGUGAUCGAAAGAUGAAAAGCACUUUGGAAAGAGAGUUAAACAGUACGUGAAAUUGUUGAAAGGGAAGCGCUUGCAACCAGACUUGCACGCAGUUGAUCAUCCGGUGUUCUCACCGGGGCACUCUGCUGCGUUCAGGCCAGCAUCGUUUUUGGUGGUUGGAUAAAGACCUUGGGAAUGUAGCUUCUUUCGGGGAGUGUUAUAGCCCUCGGUGCAAUGCAGCCUACCGGGAACGAGGACCGCGCUUCGGCUAGGAUGCUGGCGUAAUGGUUGUAAGCGGCCCGUCUUGAAACAC
Molecule: ribosomal RNA, 610 nt
Filed under: uncultured fungus
Lineage: Eukaryota; Fungi
Description: eukaryotic LSU rRNA
Rfam family: Eukaryotic large subunit ribosomal RNA
Source: RNAcentral